GUAGGGAAUAUUGGGCAAUGGAUGCAAGUCUGACCCAGCCAUCCCGCGUGCCGGAAGAAGGCCCUCAGGGUUGUAAACGGCUUUUGACGGUGAAGAAUCGACAGGAUGCGUCCUGUUUUGACGGUAGCCGUUGAAUAAGCACCGGCUAACUCCGUGCCAGCAGCCGCGGUAAUACGGAGGGUGCGAGCGUUGUCCGGAUUUAUUGGGUUUAAAGGGUGCGUAGGCUGAAGGUCAGUCAGCGGUGAAAAGCUGUCGCUUAACGAUAGUCUUGCCGCAGAUACUUCCUGUCUUGGAUGAGGAGGAGGCCACUGGAACGGAUGGUGUAGCGGUGAAAUGCAUAGAUAUCAUCCAGAACACCGAUUGCGAAGGCAGGUGGCUGUACCUUAAUCGACGCUGAUGCACGAAAGCAUGGGGAGCAAACAGGAUUAGAAACCCUGGUAGUCC
This 444-nucleotide ribosomal RNA is filed under the name uncultured bacterium. RNAcentral's name for it is "partial 16S ribosomal RNA". It matches the Rfam family "Bacterial small subunit ribosomal RNA", at positions 354 to 796 of the family's 1533-position model. The record is from RNAcentral.